Molecule: ribosomal RNA, 301 nt
Filed under: uncultured bacterium
Lineage: Bacteria
Description: partial 16S ribosomal RNA
Rfam family: Bacterial small subunit ribosomal RNA
Source: RNAcentral
CAGUAGCCACGGUAAUACGGAGGGUGCAAGCGUUAAUCGGAAUUACUGGGCGUAAAGCGCACGCAGGCGGUUUGUUAAGUCAGAUGUGAAAUCCCCGAGCUUAACUUGGGAACUGCAUUUGAAACUGGCAAGCUAGAGUCUUGUAGAGGGGGGUAGAAUUCCAGGUGUAGCGGUGAAAUGCGUAGAGAUCUGGAGGAAUACCGGUGGCGAAGGCGGCUCCCUGGACGAAGACUGACGCUCAGGUACGAAAGCGUGGGGAGCAAACAGGAUUAGAUACCCCGGUAGUCCCUGUCUCUUAUAC